RNAcentral lists this ribosomal RNA (971 nucleotides) under Staphylococcus aureus. Its description in RNAcentral is "partial 23S ribosomal RNA". It matches the Rfam family "Bacterial large subunit ribosomal RNA", at positions 328 to 1306 of the family's 2925-position model. Lineage: Bacteria; Bacillati; Bacillota; Bacilli; Caryophanales; Staphylococcaceae. The record is from RNAcentral.
AUUAGACGAAUCAUCUGGAAAGAUGAAUCAAAGAAGGUAAUAAUCCUGUAGUCGAAAAUGUUGUCUCUCUUGAGUGGAUCCUGAGUACGACGGAGCACGUGAAAUUCCGUCGGAAUCUGGGAGGACCAUCUCCUAAGGCUAAAUACUCUCUAGUGACCGAUAGUGAACCAGUACCGUGAGGGAAAGGUGAAAAGCACCCCGGAAGGGGAGUGAAAUAGAACCUGAAACCGUGUGCUUACAAGUAGUCAGAGCCCGUUAAUGGGUGAUGGCGUGCCUUUUGUAGAAUGAACCGGCGAGUUACGAUUUGAUGCAAGGUUAAGCAGUAAAUGUGGAGCCGUAGCGAAAGCGAGUCUGAAUAGGGCGUUUAGUAUUUGGUCGUAGACCCGAAACCAGGUGAUCUACCCUUGGUCAGGUUGAAGUUCAGGUAACACUGAAUGGAGGACCGAACCGACUUACGUUGAAAAGUGAGCGGAUGAACUGAGGGUAGCGGAGAAAUUCCAAUCGAACCUGGAGAUAGCUGGUUCUCUCCGAAAUAGCUUUAGGGCUAGCCUCAAGUGAUGAUUAUUGGAGGUAGAGCACUGUUUGGACGAGGGGCCCCUCUCGGGUUACCGAAUUCAGACAAACUCCGAAUGCCAAUUAAUUUAACUUGGGAGUCAGAACAUGGGUGAUAAGGUCCGUGUUCGAAAGGGAAACAGCCCAGACCACCAGCUAAGGUCCCAAAAUAUAUGUUAAGUGGAAAAGGAUGUGGCGUUGCCCAGACAACUAGGAUGUUGGCUUAGAAGCAGCCAUCAUUUAAAGAGUGCGUAAUAGCUCACUAGUCGAGUGACACUGCGCCGAAAAUGUACCGGGGCUAAACAUAUUACCGAAGCUGUGGAUUGUCCUUUGGACAAUGGUAGGAGAGCGUUCUAAGGGCGUUGAAGCAUGAUCGUAAGGACAUGUGGAGCGCUUAGAAGUGAGAAUGCCGGUGUGAG